Molecule: transfer RNA, 73 nt
Filed under: Streptomyces mutabilis
Lineage: Bacteria; Bacillati; Actinomycetota; Actinomycetes; Kitasatosporales; Streptomycetaceae
Source: RNAcentral
UCGCCGGCGUACUCGGCGACGGUCUCCAGGAGCCGGUAGCGCAUCCCGUCGCUCCCGGACGGCGCGGCCACGA